UACGUAGGGGGCGAGCGUUGUCCGGAAUUACUGGGCGUAAAGCGUGCGCAGGCGGUAAGUUAAGUCUGAUGUGAAAGCCCCGGGCUCAACCUGGGAAUGGCAUUGGAAACUGGCUUGCUGGAGUGUGGCAGAGGGGGGUGGAAUUCCGCGUGUAGCAGUGAAAUGCGUAGAGAUGCGGAGGAACACCGAUGGCGAAGGCAGCCCCCUGGGCCAACACUGACGCUCAGGCACGAAAGCGUGGGGAGCAAACAGG
Molecule: ribosomal RNA, 253 nt
Filed under: uncultured bacterium
Lineage: Bacteria
Description: partial 16S ribosomal RNA
Rfam family: Bacterial small subunit ribosomal RNA
Source: RNAcentral